RNAcentral lists this ribosomal RNA (275 nucleotides) under uncultured prokaryote. Its description in RNAcentral is "partial 16S ribosomal RNA". It matches the Rfam family "Bacterial small subunit ribosomal RNA", at positions 524 to 798 of the family's 1533-position model. The record is from RNAcentral.
UACGGAGGAUCCGAGCGUUAUCCGGAUUUAUUGGGUUUAAAGGGUGCGCAGGCGGGAGAUUAAGUCGGCGGUGAAAUUUUGCAGCUCAACUGUAAAAGUGCCUUCGAAACUGGUUUCCUUGAGUGUAGAUGAAGUAGGCGGAAUUUGUGGUGUAGCGGUGAAAUGCAUAGAUAUCACGAGGAACUCCGAUUGCGCAGGCAGCUUACUAAACCAUAACUGACGCUCAGGCACGAAGGCGUGGGGAUCAAACAGGAUUAGAUACCCCGGUAGUCCCU